UAUGAGUUAUGUGUGUGCAUAUGAGCUGGGUGGGUGUGUGUGACAAUGAUAUGUGUGUGUGGCUGUUGCAAAAGCCUCGAAGACAUAAAAAUUACAACAGCAGCAGCAAAACACAAACAAAAACGCUUGACAAACAGACUACGACUAAACGAGGGUAUAUACAGGGUAUGUGCACACAUACAUACACAUAUAUACGUAUGUGUGCCUGGCAUAAGUCAAAAUCUAAAUAACCGCAAGUGUUAAUAUGCGCGAGCAGACACCCUCGACGAAGGCGUUGUCCACCAGGAUACGUAAGGAAGCCAAGGCUAGGGGUAGAAGCUGCAGCCCUGGAGUGGGAGGCUAGAGUUGGGGGCGGGCCGUGCUCUGUCUUUCUCUCAGCCCAUCGGCACUCGUGAGGGAGGCCCUGCAAGAGCUCGCCAAGGUACGUUGGCAUUGUCAAGACCAUCUCCUCCCAGCCCCUCCUGCCCGCAGUCCGUUCCAUCAACCUCGCUCACAAUGCACUUUAGCCUCUUUCCUCCAGUCUUUGAGGUGUUUCACUUACCUUUUAGCUGUUUUCCUGCUGUGUUCACAAAUGGCGAUAAAAGUUGGAAGAAAAUCAACUGUGAAGAGAAGUAAACAAGAGAAGAGAAAAAUGGAGUUAGAGCAAGACAAAAUGAGUAAAGUAAAUACGAAAGAAAGAGAGAGGUGAGAGCUGUCGCAAGCUCGAUUGAUUCUGCUCGAAGCUCGAAUACUGUCGAAAAGCUAUUGAGAAGUGCCCCUAUCCUAUCCAACUCAUGGAUAUUAGAUGGAAUGAAGAAGAUGCCUAAACUCCUUGUAGACCUUGGGAACUGUUGCGUUCUAUUUGAAUGUGUGGGUCCUAGCCAAAGGUCUAGCUGAGAAGCGAGCAUAUGCCAGCUGUCGCAAUGCAAAUCAGUGGCCAUUGGACUGUCGCCCCCAAUGGGUGUCAAUAGAACUGCAGCGAUAACGAUAGCGAUAACGAUAACCAUGACUAAGAGAAUGACGAUGGCGAUGACGAGGAUGAUGAGACACCACUAAGGGGCGCAGCAUUAAUUAGCUUCAAAUUCCCAUAUAACCAAAAUGUUACUAAGGCCUUCGUGCAACGACUAGCAGAUACCUCGUAAGCGCUUGCGAUGAAAGACUGAUAGAUGCCCUGUUUCUAAGUAUAGUAAGUCUUAGAAAAGAUCUUCAGAUAAUAAGUGACUUGUAGAUAACCUCUAUAAAUAUGGAUGGAUAGUAA
Molecule: long non-coding RNA, 1237 nt
Organism: Drosophila mojavensis
Lineage: Eukaryota; Metazoa; Arthropoda; Insecta; Diptera; Drosophilidae
Exons: 2
Source: RefSeq, a predicted model, not a curated record